This 526-nucleotide ribosomal RNA is filed under the name uncultured bacterium. Its description in RNAcentral is "bacterial SSU rRNA". It matches the Rfam family "Bacterial small subunit ribosomal RNA", at positions 791 to 1314 of the family's 1533-position model. The record is from RNAcentral.
UAGUCCACGCCGUAAACGAUGAGCACUAGGUUUUGGGGUAUUGAUCCCUUCAGAACCGUAGCUAACGCAUUAAGUGCUCCGCCUGGGGAGUACGGUCGCAAGACUAAGACUCAAAGGAAUUGACGGGGGCCCGCACAAGCGGUGGAUUAUGUGGUUUAAUUCGAAGCAACGCGCAGAACCUUACCUGGGCUUGAACUCCUGAGAACUUCGGGUAAUGCCGAAGGUGCCCUUCGGGGAAUUCAGUGAGAGGUGCUGCAUGGCUGUCGUCAGCUCGUGUUGUGAAAUGUUGGGUUAAGUCUCGCAACGAGCGCAACCCCUAUUACUAGUUGCCAGCAUUAAGUUGGGCACUCUAGUGAGACUGCCCGGGUUAACCGGGAGGAAGGUGGGGAAUGACGUCAAGUCCUCAUGGCCCUUAUGUCCAGGGCUACACACGUAAUACAAUGGUACAUACAAUGGGACGCGAACUCGCAAGGGGAAGCAAAUCUCAAAAAAUGUAAUCUCAGUCCGGAUUGGAGUCUGCAACUCG